CUACGGGCCGCAGCAGUGAGGAAUAUUGCACAAUGGGGGGAACCCUGAUGCAGCAACGCCGCGUGGAGGAUGACGCAUUUCGGUGUGUAAACUCCUUUUAUAUGUCAAGAAAAUGACGGUAGCAUAUGAAUAAGCACCGGCUAACUCCGUGCCAGCAGCCGCGGUAAUACGGAGGGUGCAAGAGUUACUCGGAAUCACUGGGCGUAAAGGACGCGUAGGCGGGUUGGAAAGUCAGGUGUGAAAUCCUACAGCUUAACUGUAGAACUGCACUUGAAACUUCUAAUCUAGAGUAUGGGAGGGGGAGAUGGAAUUAGUGGUGUAGGGGUAAAAUCCGUAGAUAUCACUAGGAAUACCUAAAGCGAAGGCGAUCUCCUGGAACAUUACUGACGCUAAGGCGUGAAGGCGUGGGGAGCAAACAGGAUUAGAUACCCUGGUAGUC
RNAcentral lists this ribosomal RNA (439 nucleotides) under uncultured bacterium. RNAcentral's name for it is "partial 16S ribosomal RNA". It matches the Rfam family "Bacterial small subunit ribosomal RNA", at positions 339 to 795 of the family's 1533-position model. The record is from RNAcentral.